This 253-nucleotide ribosomal RNA is filed under the name uncultured bacterium. RNAcentral's name for it is "partial 16S ribosomal RNA". It matches the Rfam family "Bacterial small subunit ribosomal RNA", at positions 524 to 776 of the family's 1533-position model. The record is from RNAcentral.
UACGUAGGUGGCAAGCGUUGUCCGGAUUUACUGGGCGUAAGGAGCGCGCAGGCGGUCGUGCAAGUCGCGUGUGAAAGCCCCCGGCUCAACUGGGGAGGGUCACGCGAUACUGCUCGACUCGAAGGCAGGAGAGGGAAGUGGAAUUCCCGGUGUAGUGGUGAAAUGCGUAGAUAUCGGAAGGAACACCAGUGGCGAAGGCGACUUCCUGGACAGAUACUGACACUGAGGCACGAAAGCAUGGGGAGCAAACAGG